This is a long non-coding RNA of Salvelinus fontinalis (brook trout), 1070 nucleotides long. RefSeq lists it as uncharacterized. Lineage: Eukaryota; Metazoa; Chordata; Actinopteri; Salmoniformes; Salmonidae. The transcript has 4 exons. The record is from RefSeq and is a predicted model, not a curated record.
GAUCUGGGAGAGAGAAGUGGUAGAGGGGUAUUAACUUUGUUUGGUAUACAGUAUUUGUAAGGCCUUAACCAUGCAUUUUUCCAGACAAUGUUCAUAUUGCUGUUCCUCUAUCAUUCCUUUCCCUCUUCCACGUGUCAUCAUUCUGCUCCGGAGUGGCUCGCUUGUGGGCGUGCUGGCAGGAUAGGGCAGCGUCUUCAGUUGCGCAUCAAGAAUUCUGCAUACAGUAUCACGUUUGUAUGAAGAAAAGGAAGUCAAAGCGGACAACUACGAAGAUGGCAUCUCAGAGAGCGAGCAGAUUUACAGCCAUUUUCACUGGACUAUCUGUUGCUAAGUCAUGGGUUAGCCUUGCAAUAACCAAGUGGUGAGAAACACAGCCCUCUAUAUUUAAAUGUUUCAGGUACACUUUGAAAGGAGAUACUGUAUGUGACGCAGACACCUAUUGGCAUUAUCUUCUAUUGUUUGUCCUCAUGGGUCUGUUUUUCAGCUUAAAGUACUCUGUAGCCACUCACGUCAUCCCUCUCCCCCUAAAUCUUCUCGGUUAUAUCAGCUGUUUUGUUGAACCUCUCCCGCAUCUGAACUGGCUGACAGAGGGCACAGCCUGAUCAUAGGUAUGUUUUGAUGUGAGAGGAAUCCAGUCCCGACAGCGCAAUUGUGAUGAACUGAGAGAAUAUUAGGGUAGCACUGUCAUUCAUGAAUCAUAUGCUAUCUGCCGCUGUUCUUACCUCUCUCCCCACCUCAUCUUCUAAUGCACACCAUAUGUGCAUUGAAGUACAGAUUUGCCUACUUUUUUUUUUUUUUUAACUAGGCAAGUCAGAUAAGAAUGACGGCCUAAGAACUGCCUUGUUCAGGGGCAGAAGGACAGACCUUGUCGGCUCGGGGAUUCGAUCUUGCAACCUUCCGGUUACUAGUCCACCUACCCGCCCAAGAUUGAACUUGUAUUUAUAAUAUUACAAUUAAAAUGCACUUCUUUCAAUAAAGCGUUUCACAUUCUCCACUGGUUGAAAUACUAUCCUGUGUCCGUCCUCAGAUUAAUGGAGUUAAAUGUGCAUAGGUUUUUCUCUCUCUGUAUA